AUGAUCAGGGGCAGAGCGAAUCUGCAGCAAGUUGCAUAAACCAAUGUCUUUCAGAAGAUCUAGGGUCUCUUCCAUGGAGCCUUUCUUUUGUAAGUUUCAGACACGAAAUUAGCAUAUGUAAAAUAGAGUUUCAGAGGGAAAUAAUACUCUGUAAGAAGGAGGUAGUCUAUCUGUGAACAAGUUUGGACAAAGGACUCGCGUAGGAAACAGGAUGUACAUAGUACGAGGCAGAAAGCAAACGAUACGCUAGAUAAAUUCUGGAAAUUCUGCUGGCUCAUUGGAGGAACAUCGCGAUCGAACCGUAAACCUAGGACGAAGUUGUGAUUGAGACACUAUGGACUUCCGGAAUCGUAUUGCAACAGUAUAGAAAUUGAACGCCAGAUAACCAGGACCAGAGGAACACAAAACAGUGAAAUAAGAAAAAUACAAAAAGAAAAAAAGUAAAAGUGUAAGAAGAGAUGACACGUAGAAGGCCAUUGAGCUUAGGUCAGUAGAGGAAGAAGCACGAUGCCGCUGUCACAUAAAAUUAAUGAUAAAAAAAGCAGUAGCUGAGCAAUAACUUAACUGUGCUUUUAUAAUUUUGUAGGCUUUUAUUCAUGAAAAUGAUUAAGUAUAAUAUUACAAUGAUUGAAUGCUUGCAGUUUUUAUAUAUUGCGUUUGUAGGCGUUGAGGGGCAAGGAGAGGAUCCUGAUUGCCCUACGUAACAGGGAAAAUGUAAUGUUAGGCCAUGUGCGAAAGUCAGGUCAAAGCCUGACGGUUCACUGUCAGGUAGUAUGGAAUGACGUGGAUUUGGGUAUGGUCUUUGUCACACCGCUAAAGUCGCCAUUGGACAAUGCUUGAAAGACAUUCAAAACUGACUCAGACUGUUUGCAAGAGUUCGAGGAGAAUUAAAAUGCAACAUACCCCGAGCAACUAUCAUCCUGCUGCUCCGGUCUGCCGAAAACGGUGGAAGGAGGUACCGUACGAAUAAUAAACAACGUGCAAGCUCACUCGAGAACGCCAUAACGACGAAUCUACAUAAAACAAGCGUAAAGGGGCUCUUGUAUCGCGGUUGGACACGAAACACACGGUAUAAUAAAGAAACGAAUCAGGAGAUUGUAGUGAGAACGAUAGAAGUAGGAGGAGAAGAGAGAAGAAGAGAAAAGAGAAGGAAGAAACAAAGAGGGCAAGGGUUCUGUUGCAGUUCAUAGCGAGUUAGGUGGCGAAGGAUUCAAGGCGAAGGCGAGAUGAAGAGACAGGGCGAGCAGUCGGCAGAUGAAAAUUUUGUUCCUUUCACCUACACACGCCGACGUCGAAGAAACGACCUCCGAUUGUAAAAACGAUGAAGCAAGACAUUAGCUUUAUGAACUGGAAGAAAAAACAGGGAAGAGAGAGAGAAGAAGGAGAGUGAGAAAGGAAGAGAGAGAAGACCGUGACCACGGAUCUGGACCUUCUCCAAAGCUACAGAAACUGUUGGUCGUGUUGCCGGUUGUUAGAGCCGUACAAAACCAAGAUUUUAAAGUCGACAACAAAGUGCUGCAAACUGGGGCGCAACGAUUUCGGUCUCCGCGUUCGGUCGUUCGUUAUUAACGUUUUCAGGACUUUUCGCUGCAUUCGGUCCUUUAUUCCGCUCUCUCUGCCCUUUCCUCUCUCGCUGACUUUUCCCUCCUCUUUAUCGCUGCCUCUUUGUCUCCCGUGUCGGAUGUGUAUUUUACUGCACGUAAAAACCGAAUCUGUAACGCGUUCAGCGUGCCUGAUACAUGUAACACGCGUAACUUCUUUUUAUGUUUCAUACUCGCCAUUUUUAUUUCUUUUCUUUCUUUUCUUCUUUGGGAGUUGGGAGGGUGAGAGGGAGGGGAGUGUCUUCGACAGUUUCGUUCCAAUUCGCUGAAAAUUCUUCAAUGCCGCUGCUUCCAGCGAGAGGUCAAUGUUCUGUCGUCUAUCAACCAGCAGGUUUUUACAAAAUUGGGAUACGCAGCUGUCAGACGCGUUUAAAACACGCUGCGCGCAUUCCAUUGGUAGAAUUCGCUGUUAAUACCUCGUUUUAUCCGCGUAUCUCACCCCUACCUUUUAACAUGCGUCAUAGUGGAAUGGUAUUUUAAUUUCAAGAAACCUGUAAAACACUACGUUUUGUUAAUUACUAACAGAAGGUUGAAGAACGUUAAACUACAUUUUUAGAUGAUCUAUGAUGAUGUAGGAAUAGGUAGGCAUAUGUAUGAUUUAAUUAUGCUUUUGAAACAGACCAUCUGAAUAAUUUUCUCGUCUCUGUACAACAAAUUUUAUACCGCAUAUGCCGAAUUAAGUAUGCAAAUCUUUUAAAUAAAUUGAUUUGCAAACUACUUAAUGUGCCAGAGAAUAAGAUGCAUUUGGAGUUUCUUUCUUAUUAGAAGAAUGAAAAACGCAUUAGAAAUAGCGAAUGAAGCGUGUGCUAUCUCUAGAGAAGAUGCUCGUCAUGAAAGAAUUGCCUGUAAGUGAUUUGUUAGAUUUAAAACUGAUCAUUUGAACUUUGAUGAUGGAAACCUGCACGAUCUGAAAACUGCUGACUGAAGACAAUAAAUGAAAAGCUAUCGUGUUAAAAAUAAAUCUAUUUUCCAGGA
Long non-coding RNA from Bombus pascuorum, 2576 nucleotides. RefSeq lists it as uncharacterized. The transcript has 2 exons. NCBI's taxonomy places the organism in Eukaryota, Metazoa, Arthropoda, Insecta, Hymenoptera, Apidae. The record is from RefSeq and is a predicted model, not a curated record.